CAAUAGCGUAUAUUAAAGUUGUUGCAGUUAAAAAGCUCGUAGUUGGAUUUCUGGUGGGAGCGAUCGGUCUGGCGCUUAGCGCGAGUACUUGCAUCGUCUCCGGCCAUCCUUGGGGAGUGUCUGUCUGGCAUUAGGUUGUCGGGCAGAGGAUCCUCAUCGUUUACUGUGAAAAAAUUAGAGUGUUCAAAGCAGGCUUAUGCCGUUGAAUAUAUUAGCAUGGAAUAAUAAGAUAGGACUUUGGUACUAUUUUGUUGGUUUGCGCACCAAAGUAAUGAUUAAUAGGGACAGCUGGGGGUAUUCGUAUUCCGUUGUCAGAGGUGAAAUUCUUGGAUUUACGGAAGACGAACUACUGCGAAAGCAUUUACCAAGGAUGUUUUCAUUAA
This 383-nucleotide ribosomal RNA is filed under the name uncultured eukaryote. RNAcentral describes it as "partial 18S ribosomal RNA". It matches the Rfam family "Eukaryotic small subunit ribosomal RNA", at positions 592 to 976 of the family's 1831-position model. The record is from RNAcentral.